GGGGCUGUGGUGUAACUUGGCUAUCACACAAGGUUUGGGACCUUGUGAUCGGGGUUCAAAUCCUCGCAGCCCCA
Molecule: transfer RNA, 74 nt
Filed under: Candidatus Woesearchaeota archaeon
Lineage: Archaea; Nanobdellati; Candidatus Woesearchaeota
Description: tRNA-Pro
Rfam family: tRNA
About the family: Transfer RNA (tRNA) molecules are approximately 80 nucleotides in length.
Source: RNAcentral